UUCCCCUAGUAGCGGCGAGCGAAGCGGGAAGAGCUCAAAUUUGUAAUCUGGCGCUUUCGGCGUCCGAGUUGUAAUCUCUAGAAGUGUUUUCCGCGUUGGACCGCACACAAGUCUGUUGGAAUACAGCGGCACAGUGGUGAGACCCCCGUUCACGGUGCGGAUGCCCAAUGCUUUGUGAUACACUUUCGAAGAGUCGAGUUGUUUGGGAAUGCAGCUCAAAUUGGGUGGUAAAUUCCAUCUAAAGCUAAAUAUUGGCGAGAGACCGAUAGCGAACAAGUACCGUGAGGGAAAGAUGAAAAGCACUUUGGAAAGAGAGUUAACAGUACGUGAAAUUGUUGGAAGGGAAACGCUUGAAGUCAGACUUGCUAUUCGGGCAACCGAGUUGCAGGCCAGCAUCAGUUUUUCGGGGCGGAAAAUCACGGUUAGAAGGUAGCAGUUUCGGCUGUGUUAUAGCUUUCCGUUGGAUACGUCCUGGGGGACUGAGGAACGCAGCGUGCUUUUUGGGACCAA
Molecule: ribosomal RNA, 510 nt
Filed under: Rhodosporidiobolus poonsookiae
Lineage: Eukaryota; Fungi; Basidiomycota; Microbotryomycetes; Sporidiobolales; Sporidiobolaceae
Description: partial large subunit ribosomal RNA
Rfam family: Eukaryotic large subunit ribosomal RNA
Source: RNAcentral